This 620-nucleotide ribosomal RNA is filed under the name Bipolaris sorokiniana. Its description in RNAcentral is "eukaryotic LSU rRNA". The stretch from base 239 to 392 matches the Rfam family "5.8S ribosomal RNA". The record is from RNAcentral. Lineage: Eukaryota; Fungi; Ascomycota; Dothideomycetes; Pleosporales; Pleosporaceae.
UCAUUAGAGGAAGUAAAAGUCGUAACAAGGUCUCCGUAGGUGAACCUGCGGAGGGAUCAUUACACCACCAAAUAUGAAGGCCUUGGCUUCACGGCCGGCUGAAAAUUUUUUUUCACCCAUGUCUUUUGCGCACUUGUUGUUUCCUGGGCGGGUUCGCCCGCCACCAGGACCAAACCAUAAACCUUUUUUUUUUUAUGCAGUUGCAAUCAGCGUCAGUAAAAACAAUGUAAUAAUUUACAACUUUCAACAACGGAUCUCUUGGUUCUGGCAUCGAUGAAGAACGCAGCGAAAUGCGAUACGUAGUGUGAAUUGCAGAAUUCAGUGAAUCAUCGAAUCUUUGAACGCACAUUGCGCCCUUUGGUAUUCCAAAGGGCAUGCCUGUUCGAGCGUCAUUUGUACCUUCAAGCUUUGCUUGGUGUUGGGCGUUUUUUUGUCUCCCUCUUUCUGGGAGACUCGCCUUAAAACGAUUGGCAGCCGGCCUACUGGUUUCGGAGCGCAGCACAUAAAUUUGCACUUUGUAUCAGGAGAAAAGGACGGUAAUCCAUCAAGACUCUACAAUUUUUAACUUUUGACCUCGGAUCAGGUAGGGAUACCCGCUGAACUUAAGCAUAUCAAUAGGG